UGACUGGGGCGGUCUCCUCCUAAAGAGUAACGGAGGAGCACGAAGGUUGGCUAAUCCUGGUCGGACAUCAGGAGGUUAGUGCAAUGGCAUAAGCCAGCUUGACUGCGAGCGUGACGGCGCGAGCAGGUGCGAAAGCAGGUCAUAGUGAUCCGGUGGUUCUGAAUGGAAGGGCCAUCGCUCAACGGAUAAAAGGUACUCCGGGGAUAACAGGCUGAUACCGCCCAAGAGUUCAUAUCGACGGCGGUGUUUGGCACCUCGAUGUCGGCUCAUCACAUCCUGGGGCUGAAGUAGGUCCCAAGGGUAUGGCUGUUCGCCAUUUAAAGUGGUACGCGAGCUGGGUUUAGAACGUCGUGAGACAGUUCGGUCCCUAUCUGCCGUGGGCGCUGGAGAACUGAGGGGGGCUGCUCCUAGUACGAGAGGACCGGAGUGGACGCAUCACUGGUGUUCGGGUUGUCAUGCCAAUGGCACUGCCCGGUAGCUAAAUGCGGAAGAGAUAAGUGCUGAAAGCAUCUAAGCACGAAACUUGCCCCGAGAUGAGUUCUCCCUGAGACUUAGAGUCUCCUGAAGGAACGUUGAAGACGACGACGUUGAUAGGCCGGGUGUGUAAGCGCAGCG
This 615-nucleotide ribosomal RNA is filed under the name Salmonella enterica subsp. enterica serovar Senftenberg. RNAcentral describes it as "partial 23S ribosomal RNA". It matches the Rfam family "Bacterial large subunit ribosomal RNA", at positions 2270 to 2880 of the family's 2925-position model. Lineage: Bacteria; Pseudomonadati; Pseudomonadota; Gammaproteobacteria; Enterobacterales; Enterobacteriaceae. The record is from RNAcentral.